GAUGAACGCUGGCGGCGUGCCUAAUACAUGCAAGUCGAGCGAACAGACGAGGAGCUUGCUCCUCUGACGUUAGCGGCGGACGGGUGAGUAACACGUGGAUAACCUACCUAUAAGACUGGGAUAACUUCGGGAAACCGGAGCUAAUACUGGAUAAUAUAUUGAACCGCAUGGUUCAAUAGUGAAAGACGGUUUUGCUGUCACUUAUAGAUGGAUCCGCGCCGCAUUAGCUAGUUGGUAAGGUAACGGCUUACCAAGGCAACGAUGCGUAGCCGACCUGAGAGGGUGAUCGGCCACACUGGAACUGAGACACGGUCCAGACUCCUACGGGAGGCAGCAGUAGGGAAUCUUCCGCAAUGGGCGAAAGCUUGACGGAGCAACGCCGCGUGAGUGAUGAAGGUCUUCGGAUCGUAAAACUCUGUUAUUAGGGAAGAACAAAUGUGUAAGUAACUAUGCACGUCUUGACGGUACCCAAUCAGAAAGCCACGGCUAACUACGUG
This 497-nucleotide ribosomal RNA is filed under the name uncultured bacterium. Its description in RNAcentral is "partial 16S ribosomal RNA". It matches the Rfam family "Bacterial small subunit ribosomal RNA", at positions 28 to 507 of the family's 1533-position model. The record is from RNAcentral.